RNAcentral lists this ribosomal RNA (253 nucleotides) under uncultured bacterium. RNAcentral describes it as "partial 16S ribosomal RNA". It matches the Rfam family "Bacterial small subunit ribosomal RNA", at positions 524 to 776 of the family's 1533-position model. The record is from RNAcentral.
UACGGAGGGUGCAAGCGUUGCUCGGAAUCAUUGGGCGUAAAGCGCACGUAGGCGGUCUGUUAUGUCGGAUGUGAAAGCCCUUGGCUCAACUGAGGAAGUGCAUCCGAAACUGGCAGGCUAGAGUACUAAAGAGGGUCGCGGAAUUCCCGGUGUAGAGGUGAAAUUCGUAGAUAUCGGGAGGAACACCGGUGGCGAAGGCGGCGACCUGGGUAGAUACUGACGCUGAGGUGCGAAAGCGUGGGGAGCAAACAGG